UGGGGAAUAUUGCACAAUGGGGGAAACCCUGAUGCAGCGACGCCGCGUGAACGAAGAAGGUAUUCGUAUCGUAAAGUUCUGUCCUUUGGGAAGAUAAUGACAGUACCAUAGAAGAAAGCUCCGGCUAAAUACGUGCCAGCAGCCGCGGUAAUACGUAUGGAGCGAGCGUUGUCCGGAAUUAUUGGGCGUAAAGGGUACGCAGGCGGUUUAAUAAGUCGAAUGUUAAAGAUCGGGGCUCAACCCCGUAAAGCAUUGGAAACUGAUAAACUUGAGUAGUGGAGAGGAAAGUGGAAUUCCUAGUGUAGUGGUGAAAUACGUAGAUAUUAGGAGGAAUACCAGUAGCGAAGGCGACUUUCUGGACACAAACUGACGCUGAGGUACGAAAGCGUGGGGAGCAAACAGG
This 403-nucleotide ribosomal RNA is filed under the name bacterium. RNAcentral describes it as "partial 16S ribosomal RNA". It matches the Rfam family "Bacterial small subunit ribosomal RNA", at positions 355 to 776 of the family's 1533-position model. The record is from RNAcentral.